CAGUAGCCGCGGUAAUACGUAGGGGGCAAGCGUUAUCCGGAAUUACUGGGUGUAAAGGGAGCGUAGACGGUUAAACAAGUCUGAAGUGAAAUGCCGGGGCUCAACCCCGGAGCUGCUUUGGGAACUGUAGAACUGGAGUGUCGGAGGGGUAAGCGGAAUUCCCAGUGUAGCGGUGAAAUGCGUAGAUAUAUGGAGGAACACCGGUGGCGAAAGCGGCUCUCUGGUCUGUAACUGACGCUGAGGCUCGAAAGCGUGGGGAGCGAACAGGAUUAGAUACCCCGGUAGUCCCUGUCUCUUAUAC
RNAcentral lists this ribosomal RNA (301 nucleotides) under uncultured bacterium. RNAcentral's name for it is "partial 16S ribosomal RNA". It matches the Rfam family "Bacterial small subunit ribosomal RNA", at positions 509 to 807 of the family's 1533-position model. The record is from RNAcentral.